ACAGUACAAACUGAACAGGUUAUGUUACAUAACAGGCCGUAACACAUAACCGGGCCGUCGGACGGCGGCAGCAGAUAAAAAGACAUCUGCGGGACAGUU
Clostridium sp. D5 is the source of this 99-nucleotide regulatory RNA element. It matches the Rfam family "NiCo (Nickel/Cobalt) riboswitch aptamer". Lineage: Bacteria; Bacillati; Bacillota; Clostridia; Eubacteriales; Clostridiaceae. The record is from Rfam.